This 463-nucleotide ribosomal RNA is filed under the name uncultured bacterium. Its description in RNAcentral is "partial 16S ribosomal RNA". It matches the Rfam family "Bacterial small subunit ribosomal RNA", at positions 28 to 507 of the family's 1533-position model. The record is from RNAcentral.
GAUGAACGCUGACAGAAUGCUUAACACAUGCAAGUCUUUGGCGAAUCUGUGCUUGCACGGGCUAGCCAAGGCGGACGGGUGAGUAACGCGUAAAGAACUUGCCCUGCAGACAGGGAUAACAGACGGAAACGACUGAUAACACCUGAUACAGUUGCCGGCACGCAUGUGCCUGGCAAUGAAAAGAGAUGCUGCAGGAGAGCUUUGCGUCCUAUUAGCUUGUUGGUGAGGUGACGGCUCACCAAGGCGAUGAUAGGUAGCCGGCCUGAGAGGGUGAACGGCCACAAGGGGACUGAGAUACGGCCCUUACUCCUACGGGAGGCAGCAGUGGGGAAUAUUGGACAAUGGGGGCAACCCUGAUCCAGCAAUUCUGUGUGCACGAAGAAGGUUUUCGGAUUGUAAAGUGCUUUCAGCAGGGAAGAAGAAAGUGACGGUGCCUGCAGAAGAAGCGACGGCUAAAUACGUG